This 250-nucleotide ribosomal RNA is filed under the name uncultured bacterium. RNAcentral's name for it is "partial 16S ribosomal RNA". It matches the Rfam family "Bacterial small subunit ribosomal RNA", at positions 524 to 773 of the family's 1533-position model. The record is from RNAcentral.
UACGUAGGGACCAAGCGUUGUUCGGAUUUACUGGGCGUAAAGGGCGCGUAGGCGGCAUGGCAAGUCACUUGUGAAAUCUCCGGGCUUAACUCGGAACGGCCAAGUGAUACUGCUGAGCUAGAGUGCAGAAGGGGCAAUCGGAAUUCUUGGUGUAGCGGUGAAAUGCGUAGAUAUCAAGAGGAACACCUGAGGUGAAGACGGGUUGCUGGGCUGACACUGACGCUGAGGCGCGAAAGCUAGGGUAGCAAAC